AUUCGGAUUUCAACCCACUGAUUUAUAUACAACCUUUCCCCUGAGUGAGUAUAGAGAAUCAUCGAAUUGCUGUGUGUAGUCUUUGCCCGUCAUCCUAUGAUGGGCUUUUUUUUUG
Molecule: non-coding RNA, 115 nt
Filed under: Chimaeribacter californicus
Lineage: Bacteria; Pseudomonadati; Pseudomonadota; Gammaproteobacteria; Enterobacterales; Yersiniaceae
Description: Yersiniaceae bacterium 2015Iso6 antisense sRNA RprA
Rfam family: RprA RNA
About the family: Translational regulation of the stationary phase sigma factor RpoS is mediated by the formation of a double-stranded RNA stem-loop structure in the upstream region of the rpoS messenger RNA, occluding the translation initiation site. Clones carrying rprA (RpoS regulator RNA A) increased the translation of RpoS.
Source: RNAcentral